GGGAGUACGGUCGCAAGAUUAAAACUCAAAGGAAUUGACGGGGGACCGCACAAGCAGCGGAGCAUGUGGUUUAAUUCGACGCAACGCGAAGAACCUUACCUGGGCUUGACAUGUUGGUGACCGCCGUGGAAACACGGUUUUCCUUCGGGACACCAUCACAGGUGGUGCAUGGCUGUCGUCAGCUCGUGUCGCGAGAUGUUGGGUUAAGUCCCGCAACGAGCGCAACCCUUGUCCCUAGUUGCCAUCAUUCAGUUGGGAACUCUAGGGAGACCGCCGGUGACAAACCGGAGGAAGGUGGGGAUGACGUCAAGUCAUCAUGGCCCUCAUGACCAGGGCUACACACGUGCUACAAUGGCCGGUACAGAGGGCUGGCAACCCGCAAGGGGGAGCCAAUGGCAAAAAGCCGGUCGUAGUCCGGAUCGGAGUCUGCAACUCGACUCCGUGAAGUCGGAAUCGUUAGUAAUCGCGAAUCAGCAACGUCGCGGUGAAUACGUUCCCGGGUCUUGUACACACCGCCCGUCACACCAUGGAAGUUGGUUGCACCAGAAGUCGGUAGCUUAAC
Molecule: ribosomal RNA, 562 nt
Filed under: unidentified soil bacteria
Lineage: Bacteria
Description: bacterial SSU rRNA
Rfam family: Bacterial small subunit ribosomal RNA
Source: RNAcentral